Molecule: ribosomal RNA, 488 nt
Filed under: uncultured marine eukaryote
Lineage: Eukaryota
Description: bacterial SSU rRNA
Rfam family: Eukaryotic small subunit ribosomal RNA
Source: RNAcentral
AUUCCAGCUCCAAUAGCGUAUAUUAAAGUUGUUGCAGUUAAAAAGCUCGUAGUUGGAUUUCUGGAGGGAGCUACCGGCCCGCCCCUUCUGGGGCGUCGGCUAGUGUGCCUCUCGCCAUACUUGUGGAGAGCCAGUCUGGCCUUAACUGGUCGGGCUGGGGAUCUGCAUCAUUUACUGUGAAAAAUUAGAGUGUUUAAAGCAGGCAUAUGCCUUGAAUACAUUAGCAUGGAAUAAUAAGAUAGGACUUUGGCCUAUUUUGUUGGUUUGCAAGCCAGGGUAAUGAUUAAUAGGGAUAGUUGGGGGUAUUCAUAUUUAAUUGUCAGAGGUGAAAUUUCUUGGAUUUAUGAAAGAUGAACAACUGCGAAAGCAUUUUACCAAGGAUGUUUUUCAUUAAUCAAGAACGAAAGUCAGGGGAUCGAAGAGGAUUAGAUACCCUCGUAGUCUUGACCAUAAACUAUGCCGACUCGGGAUUGGCGGACGUUUGUUUA